Scylla paramamosain (green mud crab) is the source of this 613-nucleotide long non-coding RNA. RefSeq lists it as uncharacterized. The record is from RefSeq and is a predicted model, not a curated record. Lineage: Eukaryota; Metazoa; Arthropoda; Malacostraca; Decapoda; Portunidae. The transcript is spliced from 4 exons.
UUACAUUGCAAGCGUCUCUUUCUACACCAAAACACGUGGAAAAGUUAAAAAAAAGUAAUUUGGUUUUAGUCCCGAGAGCGAGAUGGUGAUGAGAGCGUUGGCGCAGUCGGAGCGGAACGGUGUGAGUGACUGGCAGUGUUUUUUCGUGAUUUUAGUGAACAUUCCUGAUCUGUGGAGGCUGCCGCGUCUCAGGGAAGGAGUGGCAGAGACAGUGACUCAGAAGACAUUUGGUUGCGUGCCAGCGUGCCCACCGCUGGCGUGACAGUGGAUGAGAAGUGGAGCGAGUCUUUGUGAAGGUGGAUUUACGGUGGAUCAAGCGGUAAGGUCACAUUGGUGCAGCGAGAACCACUGUAGCAGCAAUCACUGAGGCACCACUGCUAUAAGGAACUGACGCCGCUGUGACCAUGGGACGUGUCAUCAGCAGGAGUAAGUGGGAGAAAUAGCGCUUUUGUGUACUCGUAAUUCUCUCCCACCACAGCCUGCCCUCCCAAUCUCCCCAGUUCGUUACCUUCCAACUAUCCUUUCACUCCCUCCCUCCCUCUCUCAGUCCUUCACUUACUAACUCUCUUUCUCCCACUGUCCCUCAUUCAUACACUCCUUCACUCAGUCCUUC